Molecule: long non-coding RNA, 471 nt
Filed under: Homo sapiens (human)
Lineage: Eukaryota; Metazoa; Chordata; Mammalia; Primates; Hominidae
Description: non-protein coding lnc-OTUD4-5:2
Source: RNAcentral
AUUGAGCUGCGACCCUUGUUCAACGCCGUUGGCGAAGCCAGCUGCUGGAGGUGCCGAGAAUCUGAGUUUCGGCAAGCAGCCAGAAUAUUUUAAAAAUGACUACACCAAACAAGACACCUCCUGGUGCUGACCCCAAGCAGUUGGAAAGGACUGGAACAGUACGGGAAAUUGGGUCACAAGCUGUUUGGUCACUCUCAUCUUGCAAACCAGGAUUUGGAGUGGAUCAGUUACGAGAUGACAAUCUAGAAACUUAUUGGCAAUCAGAUGGUUCCCAGCCUCAUUUAGUGAACAUCCAAUUCAGAAGAAAAACAACAGUGAAGACAUUAUGUAUUUAUGCAGACUACAAAUCUGAUGAAAGCUAUACUCCAAGCAAGAUCUCAGUCAGAGUAGGAAAUAAUUUUCACAACCUUCAAGAAAUUCGGAAGUGAAGAAUCAAGUGAGAAUGGAGGAGGUGAAGCUCUUAUCACUAAA